UCAGGAUGAACGCUAGCGACAGGCUUAACACAUGCAAGUCGAGGGGCAGCACGGGAGUAGCAAUACGUUGGUGGCGACCGGCGCACGGGUGAGUAACGCGUAUGCAACCUACCUAUCAGAGGGGAAUAACCCGGCGAAAGUCGGACUAAUACCGCAUAAAACAGGGGCACCGCAUGGUGAUAUUUGUUAAAGAAAUUCGCUGAUAGAUGGGCAUGCGUUCCAUUAGGUAGUUGGUGAGGUAACGGCUCACCAAGCCGACGAUGGAUAGGGGAACUGAGAGGUUGGUCCCCCACACUGGUACUGAGACACGGACCAGACUCCUACGGGAGGCAGCAGUGAGGAAUAUUGGUCAAUGGGCGGGAGCCUGAACCAGCCAAGUCGCGUGAAAGGAAGAAGGAUCUAUGGUUCGUAAACUUCUUUUGCAGGGGAAUAAAGUGCAGGACGUGUCCUGUUUUGUAUGUACCCUGAGAAUAAGGAUCGGCUAACUCCGUGCCAGCCGCUGC
Molecule: ribosomal RNA, 503 nt
Filed under: uncultured bacterium
Lineage: Bacteria
Description: bacterial SSU rRNA
Rfam family: Bacterial small subunit ribosomal RNA
Source: RNAcentral